RNAcentral lists this ribosomal RNA (506 nucleotides) under uncultured bacterium. RNAcentral describes it as "bacterial SSU rRNA". It matches the Rfam family "Bacterial small subunit ribosomal RNA", at positions 355 to 864 of the family's 1533-position model. The record is from RNAcentral.
UGGGGAAUCUUGCACAAUGGGCGAAAGCCUGAUGCAGCGACGCCGCGUGGGGGAUGAAGCUUUUCGGAGUGUAAACCCCUUUCGACCCGGACGAAUGUCCCGCAAGGGAACUGACGGUACGGGUAUAAGAAGCCCCGGCUAACUACGUGCCAGCAGCCGCGGUAAGACGUGGGGGGGCCAGCGUUGCUCGGAAUUACUGGGUGUAAAGGGUUCGUAGGCGGUGUAGCAAGUCGGGAGUGAAAUCUCUGGGCUCAACCCAGAGACUGCUUCCGAAACUGCUGUGCUUGAGUGUGGGAGAGGCGCGUGGAAUUGCAGGUGUAGCGGUGAAAUGCGUAGAUAUCUGCAGGAACACCCGUGGCGAAAGCGGCGCGCUGGACCACUACUGACGCUGAGGAACGAAAGCUAGGGGAGCAAACAGGAUUAGAUACCCUGGUAGCCCUAGCCCUAAACGAUCAGGACUUGGGGUGCCGCACGUUCGUGCGUCGUCCCGGAGCUAACGCGUUAAG